RNAcentral lists this ribosomal RNA (403 nucleotides) under uncultured bacterium. Its description in RNAcentral is "partial 16S ribosomal RNA". It matches the Rfam family "Bacterial small subunit ribosomal RNA", at positions 28 to 526 of the family's 1533-position model. The record is from RNAcentral.
GACGAACGCUGGCGGCGUGCCUAAUACAUGCAAGUCGAACGCAGUGGGGACGGGUGAGUAACACGUGGGUAACCUCCCAUCAGAGGGGAUAACACUUGGAAACAGGUGCUAAACCGACACUGGUGGAUGGACCAGCGGUGCAUGAGCUAGUUGGGGAGGGAACGGCUUACCAAGGCCACGAUGCAUAGCUGACCGGGGAGGGUGGUCGGCCACACUGGGACUGAGACAGGGCCCAGACUCCUACGGGAGGCAGAAGUAGGGAAUCUUCGGCAAUGGACGGAAGUCUGACCGAGCAACGCCGCGUGAGUGAAGAAGGUUUUCGGAUCGUAAAACUCUGUUGUUGGAGAAGCGGUAUCUAACCAGAAAGCCACGGCUAACUACGUGCCAGCAGCCGCGGUAAUAC